GGCCUGUCUUACACAUGCAAGUCGAACGGCAGCGCGGACUUCGGUCUGGCGGCGAGUGGCGAACGGGUGAGUAAUACAUCGGAACGUAUCCUGUUGUGGGGGAUAACUAGUCGAGAGAUUAGCUAAUACCGCAUACGACCUGAGGGUGAAAGUGGGGGACCGGAAACGGCCUCAUGCAGCAGGAGCGGCCGAUGUCUGAUUAGCUAGUUGGUGGGGUAAAGGCCCACCAAGGCGACGAUCAGUAGCUGGUCUGAGAGGACGAUCAGCCACACUGGGACUGAGACACGGCCCAGACUCCUACGGGAGGCAGCAGUGGGGAAUUUUGGACAAUGGGGGCAACCCUGAUCCAGCAAUGCCGCGUGUGUGAAGAAGGCCUUCGGGUUGUAAAGCACUUUUGUCCGGAAAGAAAGCGCCCUGGCUAAUACCUGGGGUGGAUGACGGUACCGGAAGAAUAAGCACCGGCUAACUACGUGCCAGCAGCCGCGGUAAUACGUAGGGUGCGAGCGUUAAUCGGAAUUACUGGGCGUAAAGCGUGCGCAGGCGGUUUUGUAAGACAGGCGUGAAAUCCCCGGGCUUAACCUGGGAACUGCAUUUGUGACUGCAUAGCUAGAGUACGGCAGAGGGGGAUGGAAUUCCGCGUGUAGCAGUGAAAUGCGUAGAUAUGCGGAGGAACACCGAUGGCGAAGGCAAUCCCCUGGGCCUGUACUGACGCUCAUGCACGAAAGCGUGGGGGAGCAAACAGGAUUAGAUACCCUGGUAGUCCACGCCCUAAACGAUGUCAACUGGUUGUUGGGUCUUCACUGACUCAGUAACCGAAGCUAAC
Molecule: ribosomal RNA, 823 nt
Filed under: uncultured Cupriavidus sp.
Lineage: Bacteria; Pseudomonadati; Pseudomonadota; Betaproteobacteria; Burkholderiales; Burkholderiaceae
Description: bacterial SSU rRNA
Rfam family: Bacterial small subunit ribosomal RNA
Source: RNAcentral